UACGUAGGUGGCAAGCGUUGUCCGGAUUUAUUGGGCGUAAAGCGAGCGCAGGCGGUUUCUUAAGUCUGAUGUGAAAGCCCCCGGCUCAACCGGGGAGGGUCAUUGGAAACUGGGAGACUUGAGUGCAGAAGAGGAAUGUGGAACUCCAUGUGUAGCGGUGGAAUGCGUAGAUAUAUGGAAGAACACCAGUGGCGGAGGCGACAUUCUGGUCUGUUACUGACACUGAGGCUCGAAAGCGUGGGGAGCAAACAGG
This 253-nucleotide ribosomal RNA is filed under the name uncultured bacterium. RNAcentral describes it as "partial 16S ribosomal RNA". It matches the Rfam family "Bacterial small subunit ribosomal RNA", at positions 524 to 776 of the family's 1533-position model. The record is from RNAcentral.